RNAcentral lists this ribosomal RNA (1014 nucleotides) under Triticum aestivum (bread wheat). RNAcentral's name for it is "partial small subunit ribosomal RNA". Lineage: Eukaryota; Viridiplantae; Streptophyta; Magnoliopsida; Poales; Poaceae. The record is from RNAcentral.
AUGGCCUCCUCCUUCCUCUCCCUACGCCUCCCUACCCCCUCCCCGCCCACCGCGACGUCGUCCCCGUUCUUCCCGAAUCCCCUAGUCCGGUCUGGAAGGUGCAGUCCGCCGUCCUCUACCCUCGUGGCGCGUGUUGCCGGGUCGGCGGCGGGGGCUCCGUCGCCGUUGUUCAACCCGAGGGGCGACCCGUUCCUAUCCACGCUAGCCGCUGCUUCUCCAGAGCAGCUAGCGGCAGCUGCGGGUGGCGAACGCCGCGGCGAGGACCACCUUCCGUUCCUCGAGAUCUUCCAGAACGCCAAGCUCAUGUCCUCGCCCGCGCAGGUGGAACGUUCUAGCAGCUCUUACAGUCAGCACAGUCCUAGAAGGCCUCCUCCGGAUUUGCCAUCGUUGCUUCUACAUGGACGGAUCGUUUAUAUUGGCAUGCCGUUGGUUCCAGCAGUUACCGAGCUUAUUGUUGCCCAGUUGAUGUACCUUGAUUGGAUGAAUAGUAGUGAGCCUGCAUAUAUAUACAUCAACUCAACAGGAACGGCUCGUGAUGAUGGUGAACCAGUUGGAAUGGAGACAGAAGGUUUUGCUAUAUAUGAUGCCAUGAUGCGGAUGAAAACUGAGGUUCACACACUUUGUAUAGGAGCUGCAGCUGGUCAUGCCUGCCUUGUCCUUUCAGCAGGGAAGAAAGGCAAACGCUAUAUGUUUCCCCAUGCCAAAGCUUUGAUUCAGCAACCUCGUAUUCCUUCAUAUGGGAUGAUGCAAGCCUCUGAUGUUGUUAUUCGUGCAAAAGAGGUCGUGCACAACAGGAACACCCUGGUCAAACUUCUAGCAAGGCACACUGGAAAUCCACCGGAGAAAAUAGACAAGGUGAUGAGAGGGCCAUUUUAUAUGGACUCUUUGAAAGCCAAGGAGUUUGGGGUAAUUGACAAGAUCCUUUGGCGCGGUCAGGAGAAGUACAUGUCUGACAUGCUCUCCCCUGAGGAUUGGGACAAGGUUGCUGGAGUCAGAGGCCCCGGUGGAAUGUGA